CAAAGAUCGAGACAAAAGCAGCAAGGAGCAUCAAAGGUGUUACUGUAACACAAUGCUUAAAGGUUAACAGCAGCAUAAGAAGGAAGACAUAAUACAAUCAGAAGCUCUUUGGUUCAAAAACUGUAGCUUUGGUCAAGGCAGAAGAAUACCAACUUUUUUUCAGCCCUCACAACACUCUGUGUUUCCUAAUCCGCAAGGAAGAGAACAAGACAGAAAACAGUCAAUAAUGAUGCACUGCUUUAUUUUCUCAUGAAAGGUAUGAGACUUGACUUUGGGAGGUACUACCUUCUGAAGGUACACAUUCACUUAAUUUCCUGUCAUCAUUCCAACAGCAUCAGUUUGGUUUAUUUAGUAUAUUAUGUAUCUCAAUUGGAAGAUGUGCUGCAAUAUUCUCUCCUCAUUUUAGUAAAAGAUAAAAUGUAAUUGCCACAAUUUUACAUUAAAAUAAACAUGAGAUAAUGUGCUGCUAUUUCAGAACACUGCCUAAUACGUUCAUCUGGCAAAGGCAAAUGUAAGGCCAGUUCUGUAUAGAUCGGGGAUUUUAUGGUGGUUCUGAGAACACGCUUGCCAUACAAUACAGGCAGCACAGUCUAUUCAAUAGCUCUGCACAACUGAAAUGAAUCCUGCAAGAGCUGUUAAAAAAAACAAUCAGAUUUUGUUCUUUUCCAUGCAAGGAUUCUUAGCGAUACAAAUUUGAAACACCAGCUACAUAGCUGGAACACUGAAUAAGGCUAAAAUCCUACAUAGAUUUUAGUACUGAAAUUAAGGAUGCAGGAAGAAAAAAAUUCACAAAAAUGAAAAUUAAAGCUAGAGAAAUAUAAAAGGCUUUCAGUUUUAUUCUGUGGGGAGAGUUGCAAACAUAAAAAAAAGCAAGUGGAUGGUAUCAGUUUUUUAGCACUAGA
Molecule: long non-coding RNA, 902 nt
Organism: Aquila chrysaetos chrysaetos
Lineage: Eukaryota; Metazoa; Chordata; Aves; Accipitriformes; Accipitridae
Exons: 3
Source: RefSeq, a predicted model, not a curated record